AAAAACAUUUCAUUAGGACUUGUUUAUUUACGAAAUGCAAACAAGGAUAUGAGGAUUUACAUAAAUUAUAGAAUUGAGAUCUUGAAAGAUUGCCUCCAUUGACAAUUUUGAGUAUAAAGUUGCUCCAGUAUGUUCAAGUAUACAAGACAUGUAAUUUCCCAAUUCAUUUCCUUUUUGUAGUGAUUUGUUAAAGCAUAAAUAAUCAGAGAAAAUAAGAAAAAGAAGCAGAAGGAGCAAAGGAUUUAAUAGAAAUAAAAGAAACAUAGUCUAACCAUUUUGGUCUAAUCACUUAAAUUCAGUGGCUCAAAUUUUAUUAAUACUCUUGGGACCAUUUGGGUAGUCAUAAUCGUCACCUAACUCCUUGAGGAACUCUUCCUUGUCUACUCCCAUACUUCUUCUUUUUCUUCUUGUAUAUCAGUAUAUGUAUACGCUUAAUGGCAAAAAGCAUUGAGACGAUUGCAACUUUGUAACUGGAGUUAUGAGUUGAAUCUAGAAUAAUGCCCAAAUAAAUCCCUUUACUUGUGAUUCUUAAACACACACAAACUUCGACUUCAAGCCUUUAACACAAACAGACCAUUAAUGGCAAAAUGAGAAGAGGCAAAGAGGAGAGGAAUUUCAGCAGGGGGAAGAAGAAGAAAGAGAUGUGUUGCUUGAAAUAGAGAGGGAGGUGUUGAGGGUGAGCAGAUAGGGAGGGAUAGGUUAGCGCAUUUAGAUUUUAUCUUAUUCAGCACCUAAUAACUUAAAAAGGUGUGUUUUAAUACUAAUUCAUUUCGGUUCUAUUUUUUGUACUUUUUAUCUCAAAAACUGAACCGAAUUGAAAUAACAUAAAUUUUUUUAAAUGAAAAUUGAAUCGAACUAAUCUUUAUAAAACUGAACCGAAUUUUUGAACUGAUUUGCUUCGAUCAGUUAAUUCAGUCCUAACCGAAUACUGCUCACCCCUACUUUUUAAUACCUUCAUAACAUGCAUGAAUUUGAUAUUCCCUUGGCCACUCAAACUCAUAACAAAAAUUAACUUGACCAUGCAUCCACAUCCUUAAAAUCAUUUUCAAAAAAUUUACAUAUAUAAGAUUUAUGACUUUCCCCCUAAAUUCAUGCAACCUAAAGAAUCAAAUUCUUGUAAUUAAGUGCAAGUAAGAGGGAGAUUUAAGCAAGGGGAAGAAACGUACCUCUUUAAACUCUAAUAUCCUUUUCCCCUUAAAAGGAAGACUUGAAGGAUUUCUUGGAUUCUUCCUACUUCUUCCCCAAUCCUUUACUAGCCUUUAAUCUCCAACAUGCAAGACCAUCACAAGGAAUUAUUUCAAGUUAAUAUCCUAUUUUGAAGACAAGGAAGGGAGAAGAAAAAAAGAAGAGGGAGAAGAGUACUGUCUAGAUGGAAUUUUGAAGCUUCUCCUUAAAAUUUCGUCCAUUGAGACUCUUAUACCCUCACAUAAAAAGGACUUUUGGCUAUUGAAAGUCUAACUUUUAGUUGUCGAAACUCAUUCUGUCCAAAACAAGGAUUUUAUCCUUAAACUUUUCAACUCUGCUCCCCCAAACCUUCUAACACAAAACUUAGAACACUACUAAGACUCUUAUCAUAAUCACCACUCAUCUUUGGAACCCUUAGAUUUAUCAGAAUUCUCGUAAAUGGUAGGAAUUCCGAGUACAGGAACUUGACAAGUGUUACAUUAUUGAUGAAUGGAAUGGGAUGGUUGAGCAAAGAACAUCAUCAUUGUGAAAAUAAUGAUUACCACGUACAUCAAUCCAAUAAUGAUCCAACUUUGGUUAUCAUUCAUGUGGGAAUUAAGCUUCAAGGAACAGAAGAGAAUGGUAUAGUAUUUGAACUCAAUUAAUGGAGUAGGAACUAGGACUGUAGUUGUAGUUGUAACCAAGAAAUAUGCUAAUACUCACAUUUUAUUUUGAAUUUUCUUGACUUUGAGCAUGGAGAAGGAGUUGCUGCCAAAGCCAAAGAAGCCCAAGACCAUGAAGAUCAAGUUGUUUGAGAUGCAUGUAUGAGAGGUAUGCAAGAGAGAGAAACAAGGGAAGAAGAUGAUCAAUGAGGAUAGAAUUAUGUUUUUUUAAUUUUAUUUUAAG
Molecule: unclassified non-coding RNA, 2070 nt
Filed under: Hevea brasiliensis (rubber tree)
Lineage: Eukaryota; Viridiplantae; Streptophyta; Magnoliopsida; Malpighiales; Euphorbiaceae
Source: RNAcentral